Molecule: long non-coding RNA, 3812 nt
Filed under: Marmota monax (woodchuck)
Lineage: Eukaryota; Metazoa; Chordata; Mammalia; Rodentia; Sciuridae
Source: RNAcentral
CAGGGGUCUUUUCAAACAUAGACAAUCAUGGGAUAUUAAACUUGAAGGACAAUAGAGAUCAUCUAGUCCCAUCAACUCACUAUAUAUAUGAGGAACCUGAGGUCCAGAGUGGGGAUGUGUCUUACCCAAGGUCACAUGGUGAGUUAUCUCCUUUGACAUCUUUGUAUAAAGUCAUGACCCCUUCCCUACCAAUUUUGAUUUUUAAGACCCAAGGACUCAUCAUCAAACCUCCAUGUCUCAAAGAAAUAGGGUAUGGCUAGGUGUCCAGGGUGGUAUUGGUGUUCAAGUCCCUUAGGUUAUAAGAGUGUCUUCUAGAGGAGGAAGCUUCACAGGGCCUAGGUGAGGGGUAUGAGAGAAGCAAGAGAGGGGCCAUGGCCUGGCGAGAAACAGUGAUGUCAUAGACCUUCUCAGCAGGCUGCCCAGACCCAUGACCUUCCCUCCUUUCUCAAACCCCAGAAAGCCCUUCUCUGGAGUCAGCACAGAGAAACUAUCUCAGAAAUGUCUCAUUUUGAAAUGGAGCUUUCUUCUAAAUAUGAUAUCACAGACAAAGAGAUUUCCCUGUAUCUUCACAAAUUUGACCUCACUCCCUACAGAGGGAGGGACCCCAACACCCCAAAUGUCUCAACCCUGUUUUGAUCAUACUAGUCCAGUCCUGGGCUACAGAAAGGAAAGUCUCAGUGCAAUUGGAUUGUUUCAAACUGUGCCCAUGAUGUAUCCCCAGUGCCCAGUUUUUCAUCAUGCCGUCCACAUGCCUGCACAUGACUUUCAUGAAAAGAUAGGCUUUCUCUGUUUACAUGUGUAUGCACAUGUGUGCAUGAGUGUGCACACAUACAAACAUACACACACACGCAAACAUGCAUAGUCUUUACAGAUAUGUUAAAACUCUGAAUUUGAUCAAGCAACUUGUUUGUGGAGAUUUGAUCAGGAGCACCCGUAUCUCUGGAUAUUCUCACUGAGUUCCCAGCUGAGUGGCCAGAAAGACUCUAAGCUGUCAUGGAAGUCCUCCUCGCUUGAGGCAGCCUGUAACUCAGUGGCCACCAAUGCUGCUCCUCAAGGGUAUGUCCAUGCCCUGUAAGAAUUAGAAUUAUGGGAAGGCUGAGAUCUCAUCCAUCCUUCCUAAACCAUCCAAGGUCCUGGUGAAAUGAGGCAAAAAAGGUCAAUAGGAAAAAGCUUGUAGGCUUACCAGUACAGAGCCUCCACCUCCUAGUGUGGUCAGAAAGGGUCUAUGAAAUUUUAGUUCCUAGAAUUGGAGAUGCCCUCUGGUAUCCUUAAGUGGGGCAGCAUAGCCUUCUCCUUCAUCUCCUCUGGUGACCCUGCCAUGCACACCCUUGCUCUCUCACCUGCUCAUCAACUCAUCGUCAGGGGAUCCUCCUUCCAGACUUGGAAUGACUGUAUAUGGUCCUAGACCGAGACUCCCUAAGAUGAGUCUGUCCUUCCUCUUCCAUGACAGUCCAAGCCAAGCCCCCAAAUGUGGCACUCACUUCCCUUCCAUGGUUCAGCGGAGGCCACAGCAAAAUGGAGUGUUUCCGGUUUUCCUGACCGUUCUUGGUUUUAAGUUACCCCCUCCCCCUCAUCUUUCCCUUUUGCUGGCAAUUCAUUUGGCUAUUUCCAAUGUAUAUCCGUAUCUCUAGGUUUUCCCCUUUCAAACUCCCUUUCUAUUUCCCCUCCUAGUUUUGAUCUUCUUUGGGGGUUUUGGUUUUUACUUUAUUUUGCUUUUUUCUGUUUUUCUGUUUUUUUUCUUUUUGUUUUUUUAUAGGUUUCAGAGAAAUUAUGUUGAAUCCAAUAAGCCUUCCCGGACAUUCCAAGCCUCUUAACCAUGGCAUCUAUGUUGAGGAUGUCAAUGUUUAUUUCAGCAAAGGACGUCAUGGCUUUUAAAAACUCCUUUUAAGCCUCCUUGUUUUGAUGUCACCUUGGUAGGCUGGGCCCUCUGAGAGGUUGGAAGCUCUAGGCGUUGUUCUCUUUGGAUCCGGGGAUGCUAAGUAGAAACUGCAUGAGCCACCGGUGCCCCUGCACCCUUUAACACCACCGAGAUGGGCAUUUCCCCAUCGGCCACUGGCAGGGUUGCCCCUUCCCUCCAAUCAUCACCGUGUUUUUUCUUUUAUUUUUUUCUUUUUUUUUCUGACCUGCGAGGCAGCUCCUGCCACCAUCUUUAGAGCCAAUAAAGAGAAUUAAAACCUGUGCACCAGGAGCCAUCUUUUAUACACAACUAGCUAUUCUCUUGCUUUACAAAAACAACCCAAUCGCCAUGAGAAAGCCUGAUGAAGUCCAGCCGUGCUGUGGCCUCCCUUUCUCGCUUGGAAGCAUGGGGUCUCCCUGGCUCUCCCUAGGACACUGUGCUGUCCUUUUAGUAACCUCAUCGCCCUGCAACCUCCAGUGGGGAAGAGUCACAAAGAGCACCUAAGCAGAGGUGGAGACGGCGCGGUAAGAGGAGGGGGAACCAGGCCCAAGUGUUGCACCAGCUUAGGUCUCAGAGGGAAGAAUGGAAACCAAUAUUUUGUUUUUGUUUUUGGUUUUUUUUUUUUGGUGGAGAAAAUCAUACCUUUUUUUGGAUACACUGCCCCUCCUUCUUCUCUGGAAUGGCUCACAGUGAGUGCGAUAUUAGAAAAUUCCUUGGAAAGAGUUUCUCCAGGCUCCUUGGCCCCUAGAGGUGCAGUUCCGACAAGCUUUGGCUACAGGAGACCUUGCCCGUGAAUUGGCCAUCCUACUAGGACCACAAGGGACCGAGGGAAUCAGGGAACAAGGCCCUUCCUGCUAGGCCAUGAUCCUGGGAUUGGCUCUCUUGCCCCACUUCCACUUACUCUUGACUCAGAGAACCUUUGGAGCCCAAUGGAAUCACCAUUUCAAGGUCAAGAUGAACUGAAGGGGAAGAGAAGUAAAAAUUGGCCUCCUCCAGCCCCUCUCGUGGCACCAGCGGACGUGUCACCCUGUUCUCUGGUCAAUCUGUGUGUUUACUUUGCUUGCUUUGACUCAUGCCUUACUCCACAGCCACCCUCUCCCAAAGAGGGGGGCUGUUCCCCCCGUUUCUGACUUGAUCCACUGGGGAGAAGAAAGAGGAUGUCUGUCCCUUGCUAGAUAGGGAAGGCACGUUGGCAGGGUCUGAGACUCUCCCGGAUUCGCUGACACAUUAGCUGAGUGGAUUUCUGGCUUGGUCCAGCUCUCCAAAUACCCACUGGGAGUCCCUGUUAUAUGAGGGAAGCUUAGAUUGUCACUUGAUGAUGAUCAACAGGAACAGGGAGCACCCCAUGGGGAGUUUUGGGGAAGCUAUGGUGGUUUUUAUAACCCAUUAUGUUUUGGGGGUGGUGUUGCACAGCAAUAGAGAAUAGAUUCUAUGCCUUUGGCAAAUGUACCUGGGAGUUAAAAGGCUCUUACUGAUGGGUUGAUAGGUUCUGCUCCCCCCGGGUCCUGUGGAUAAAGCUUCUUCAUGUCAGGUUCCCAACCUGAUUCUGUAGAUGUCUCCAUGGGGUUGAAAAACCGGAAGCUUUCCAAGUUCUUGCCCAGUAUGUAGCCCUGUCCAGCUCCCCUCAUCUGCUCCCCAUGGCUCCAGUGAGGCUGUUCCCCAGCACGCCCUGCUGGCCCCUUGGGUCUAGGGCCUCCUCCCGAGUGUGGCUUUAAGGAGUAAGCUUGAGGAUGAUGUUUUUAAUUAUUGUAAAUCAUUACCUCAUUUCCAGCCUCCCAGGCUCCAUCCAUCCCAGCAUCUUUUAUUCUGCCAUUUUCCUCACCUUGUGCUAUGACAUUGGGGCAUUGUGUUUCCACAGAGACUUAUAGGAGUGUUCAGUGUAUAGUUUCUUAAUAAACACUUUAUUUUCUAAUGA